RNAcentral lists this ribosomal RNA (467 nucleotides) under uncultured bacterium. RNAcentral describes it as "partial 16S ribosomal RNA". It matches the Rfam family "Bacterial small subunit ribosomal RNA", at positions 28 to 507 of the family's 1533-position model. The record is from RNAcentral.
GACGAACGCUGGCGGCGUGCUUAACACAUGCAAGUCGAACGGAAAGGCCCGGCUUUUGUGGGUUGCUCGAUUGCCGAAGGGGUGUGUAACACGUGAGUAACCUGCCCUUGUCUUUGGGAUAUCUCCAGGAAACUGGGGCUAUUACCGCAUAGAAUCUCUUGCUCCAUGUUGGGGGUUGGAAAGUUGCGGCGGUUGGGGAUGUACUCGCGGUUUACCAGCUUGUUGGUGGGGUAGUGGCUUACAAAGCUUUUGACGGGUAGCCUGCCUGGGAGGGAGACCGGCCACAGUGGGAUUGAGAAAGGACCCAGACGCCAACGGGAGGAAAGGGUGGGAAAUAUUGCACAAUGGGCGGAGGCCGGAUGGAGCAACGCCGGGUGGGGAAUGACGGCUUUCGGGUUGUAAACCGCUUUCGCGUGUGACGAAGCGUGAGUAAGGGAAAUGGGUAAAAAGGCACGGCUUAAUUAGGG